UAGGGAAUAUUGCACAAUGGGCGAAAGCCUGAUGCAGCAACGCCGCGUGCGCGAAGAAGGCCUUCGGGUUGUAAAGCGCUUUUCGGGGAGAAGAGGAAGGACAGUAUCCCCGGAAUAAGGCUCGGCUAACUACGUGCCAGCAGCCGCGGUAACACGUAGGAGCCAAGCGUUAUCCGAAUUCACUGGGCGUAAAGCGCGUGUAGGCGGUCUUACAAGUUGGGUGUGAAAGCUCCUGGCUCAACUAGGAGAGGACGUUCAAUACUGUGAGACUAGAGGACGGCAGAGGAAGGUGGAAUUCCCGGGUGUAGUGGUGAAAUGCGUAGAUAUCGGGAGGAACACCAGAGGCGAAGGCGGCCUUCUGGGCCGAUCCUGACGCUCAGACGCGAAAGCUAGGGGAGC
This 399-nucleotide ribosomal RNA is filed under the name uncultured bacterium. RNAcentral describes it as "bacterial SSU rRNA". It matches the Rfam family "Bacterial small subunit ribosomal RNA", at positions 355 to 769 of the family's 1533-position model. The record is from RNAcentral.